GAUGAACGCUAGCGAUAGGCUUAACACAUGCAAGUCGAGGGACCGGCGCACGGGUGCGUAACGCGUAUGCAACCUGCCUGUAAUUAGGGAAUAACCCGGUGAAAGUCGGACUAAUACCCUAUAAUUACAGAUGGGCAUGCGUCCCAUUAGCUAGUUGGUAAGGUAACGGCUUACCAAGGCGACGAUGGGUAGGGGGACUGAGUGUUUGUGCCCCCAAGCUGGUAGUGAGACACGGACCUGACUCGGACGGCAGGAGGAAGUGAGGAAUAUUGGUGAAUGGGAGAGAGCCUGAACCAGCCAAGUUGCGUGAAGGAGGACGGUUUAUGGAUUGUAAACUUCUUUUGGAGAGGAAUAUGUACUCUACGAAUAAGUAUCGGCUAACUCCGUGCCAGCAGCCGCGGUAAUAC
RNAcentral lists this ribosomal RNA (407 nucleotides) under uncultured bacterium. RNAcentral's name for it is "partial 16S ribosomal RNA". It matches the Rfam family "Bacterial small subunit ribosomal RNA", at positions 28 to 526 of the family's 1533-position model. The record is from RNAcentral.